This 386-nucleotide ribosomal RNA is filed under the name uncultured bacterium. RNAcentral's name for it is "bacterial SSU rRNA". It matches the Rfam family "Bacterial small subunit ribosomal RNA", at positions 30 to 414 of the family's 1533-position model. The record is from RNAcentral.
AUUGAACGCUGGCGGCAUGCCUUACACAUGCAAGUCGAACGGCAGCACGGGAGCAAUCCUGGUGGCGAGUGGCGAACGGGUGAGUAAUAUAUCGGAACGUGCCCAGUCGUGGGGGAUAACGUAGCGAAAGCUACGCUAAUACCGCAUACGAUCUAUGGAUGAAAGCGGGGGAUCGCAAGACCUCGCGCGAUUGGAGCGGCCGAUAUCAGAUUAGGUAGUUGGUGAGGUAAAGGCUCACCAAGCCGACGAUCUGUAGCUGGUCUGAGAGGACGACCAGCCACACUGGGACUGAGACACGGCCCAGACUCCUACGGGAGGCAGCAGUGGGGAAUUUUUGGACAAUGGGCGGCAAGCCUGAUCCAGCAAUGCCGCGUGCAGGAUGAAGG